CAGCCGCCGCGGUAAUACGUAGGUGGCAAGCGUUGUCCGGAAUUAUUGGGCGUAAAGGGCUCGCAGGCGGUUUCUUAAGUCUGAUGUGAAAGCCCCCGGCUCAACCGGGGAGGGUCAUUGGAAACUGGGAAACUUGAGUGCAGAAGAGGAGAGUGGAAUUCCACGUGUAGCGGUGAAAUGCGUAGAGAUGUGGAGGAACACCAGUGGCGAAGGCGACUCUCUGGUCUGUAACUGACGCUGAGGAGCGAAAGCGUGGGGAGCGAACAGGAUUAGAUACCCGAGUAGUACCUGUCUCUUAUAC
RNAcentral lists this ribosomal RNA (301 nucleotides) under uncultured bacterium. Its description in RNAcentral is "partial 16S ribosomal RNA". It matches the Rfam family "Bacterial small subunit ribosomal RNA", at positions 509 to 807 of the family's 1533-position model. The record is from RNAcentral.